AGUGAACGCUGGCGGCGUGCCUAAUACAUGCAAGUCGAACGGAGAUUAAGUAGCUUGCUAUUUAAUCUUAGUGGCGCACGGGUGAGUAAUAUAUAGCUAAUCUGCCCUACACUAGAGGACAACAGUUGGAAACGACUGCUAAUACUCUAUACUCCUUCUUUACAUAAGUUAAGUCGGGAAAGUUUUUCGGUGUAGGAUGAGGCUAUAUCGUAUCAGCUAGUUGGUAGGGUAACGGCCUACCAAGGCUAUGACGCGUAACUGGUCUGAGAGGAUGAUCAGUCACACUGGAACUGAGACACGGUCCAGACUCCUACGGGAGGCAGCAGUAGGGAAUAUUGCUCAAUGGGGGAAACCCUGAAGCAGCAACGCCGCGUGGAGGAUGACACUUUUCGGAGCGUAAACUCCUUUUCUUGGGAAAGAAUUAUGACGGUACCCAAGGAAUAAGCACCG
RNAcentral lists this ribosomal RNA (450 nucleotides) under Campylobacter rectus. RNAcentral's name for it is "bacterial SSU rRNA". It matches the Rfam family "Bacterial small subunit ribosomal RNA", at positions 29 to 495 of the family's 1533-position model. The record is from RNAcentral. Lineage: Bacteria; Pseudomonadati; Campylobacterota; Epsilonproteobacteria; Campylobacterales; Campylobacteraceae.